UGGUGGUUGCAGAUCAGUGGUUAACACAUUGGAUUUCUGAUCAGAAGGUUGUGAGUUCAAAUCCCAGAGCGCCAC
Non-coding RNA from Ameiurus melas (black bullhead), 75 nucleotides. The record is from the annotation of a GenBank genome assembly. NCBI's taxonomy places the organism in Eukaryota, Metazoa, Chordata, Actinopteri, Siluriformes, Ictaluridae.